RNAcentral lists this ribosomal RNA (460 nucleotides) under uncultured bacterium. Its description in RNAcentral is "partial 16S ribosomal RNA". It matches the Rfam family "Bacterial small subunit ribosomal RNA", at positions 338 to 795 of the family's 1533-position model. The record is from RNAcentral.
CCUACGGGAGGCAGCAGUGAGGAAUAUUGGUCAAUGGACGAGAGUCUGAACCAGCCAAGUAGCGUGAAGGAUGACUGCCCUAUGGGUUGUAAACUUCUUUUAUAUGGGAAUAAAAUGUUCCACGUGUGGGAUUUUGUAUGUACCAUAUGAAUAAGGAUCGGCUAACUCCGUGCCAGCAGCCGCGUUAAUACGGAGGAUCCGAGCGUUAUCCGGAUUUAUUGGGUUUAAAGGGAGCGUAGGUGGAUUGUUAAGUCAGUUGUGAAAGUUUGCGGCUCAACCGUAAAAUUGCAGUUGAAACUGGCAGUCUUGAGUACAGUAGAGGUGGGCGGAAUUCGUGGUGUAGCGGUGAAAUGCUUAGAUAUCACGAAGAACUCCGAUUGCGAAGGCAGUUCACUGGACUGCAACUGACACUGAGGCUCGAAAGUGUGGGUAUCAAACAGGAUUAGAUACCCCAGUAGUC